RNAcentral lists this long non-coding RNA (503 nucleotides) under Cottoperca gobio. Its description in RNAcentral is "lncRNA (ENSCGOG00000014826.1)". The record is from RNAcentral. Lineage: Eukaryota; Metazoa; Chordata; Actinopteri; Perciformes; Bovichtidae.
CCAACUGGACCAUCAGCUGCUCCCUCCAGCCACAGUACCCAGGAGGCUCCUUCCUGCUCACCUUCACCUCCUCCAACUCAAGACACUACUACACCCAGCCAACUGUCAAUCACUCUGCCGACUUCCUGUUCCCUGCUGCAGAGCCCGCCCACCAUGGAAACUACAGCUGUGUUUAUCACGUCUCUGUUUUUUCUCAUAACUUCUUCUCUGAGAGCCGUCUGCUGUCUCUCACUGUCUCAGAUGUUGGCUCAGAUCCGACACCUCUUAUCAUCAGAGCGGUCGUCCUGCCGCUGACUCUGCUGUUGGUGAACGUGGCCCUUUACUUCUACUGUCAGGCCAGCAGGGGGCAGAAGCCGGGCAGACGAGAGAACAUGGAGCUGGAAGAUUAUAACCUGGAUGUUCCUGCAGCUGAAGAGGAAGGAGCUCAGGGAGCAGAGUAGCACCUCAUCUCACAUCCAGAAGCAUUUCUGACACACAGUCCAGCAUCAGCUCACUUUUAUACA